CCUACGGGUGGCUGCAGUGAGGAAUAUUGGUCAAUGGACGAGAGUCUGAACCAGCCAAGUAGCGUGAAGGAUGACUGCCCUAUGGGUUGUAAACUUCUUUUAUAUGGGAAUAAAAUGUUCCACGUGUGGGUUUUUGUAUGUACCUUAUGAAUAAGGAUCGGCUAAAUCCGUGCCAGCAGCCGCGGUAAUACGGAGGGUCCGAGCGUUAUCCGGAUUUAUUGGGUUUAAAGGGAGCGUAGAUGGGUUGUUAAGUCAGUUGUGAAAGUUUGCGGCUCAACCGUAAAAUUGCAGUUGAAACUGGGAGUCUUGAGUACAGUAGAGGUGGGCGGAAUUCGUGGUGUAGCGGUGAAAUGCUUAGAUAUCACGAAGAACACCGAUUGCGAAGGCAGCUCACUGGACUGCAACUGACACUGAGGCUCGAAAGUGUGGGUAUCAAACAGGAUUAGAUACCCUAGUAGUC
This 460-nucleotide ribosomal RNA is filed under the name uncultured bacterium. RNAcentral's name for it is "partial 16S ribosomal RNA". It matches the Rfam family "Bacterial small subunit ribosomal RNA", at positions 338 to 795 of the family's 1533-position model. The record is from RNAcentral.